RNAcentral lists this ribosomal RNA (254 nucleotides) under uncultured bacterium. RNAcentral's name for it is "partial 16S ribosomal RNA". It matches the Rfam family "Bacterial small subunit ribosomal RNA", at positions 524 to 776 of the family's 1533-position model. The record is from RNAcentral.
UACGUAGGGUGCAGGCGUUGUUCGGAAUCACUGGGCGUAAAGCGCGUGUAGGCGGCCAAGUAAGUGGGAUGUGAAAUCCCCCGGCUUACCCGGGGACCUGCAUCUCAUACUGCUUGGCUUGAGUAUGGGAGAGGAUGAGGGAAUUCCAGGUGUAGCGGUGAAAUGCGUAGAUAUCUGGAGGAACACCGGUGGCGAAGGCGGCAUCCUGGACCAACACUGACGCUGAGUGAGCGAAAGCCAGGGGAGCAAACGGG